RNA transcript from Myotis lucifugus (little brown bat), 616 nucleotides. It is a transcript of the gene named small nuclear ribonucleoprotein Sm D2 pseudogene, with no coding region annotated. The record is from RefSeq and is a predicted model, not a curated record. The transcript has 3 exons. NCBI's taxonomy places the organism in Eukaryota, Metazoa, Chordata, Mammalia, Chiroptera, Vespertilionidae.
GCUGAAGCAACGCGGAGAACAGGAGCGUUCUGAGAGCGCAACCACCGCCACCAUGAGCCUUCUCAACAAGCCCAAGAGUGAGGUGACCCCGGAGGAGCUGCAGAAGCGGGAGGAGGAAGAGUUUAACACGGGCCCACUCUCCGUGCUCACGCAGUCCGUCAAGAACAACACCCAAGUGCUCAUCAACUGUCGCAACAACAAGAAGCUCCUGGGCCGUGUGAAGGCUUUUGACAGGCACUGCAACAUGGUGCUGGAGAAUGUGACGGAGAUGUGGACCGAGGUCCCCAAGAGUGGCAAGGGCAAGAAGAAGUCCAAGCCAGUCCACAAGGACCGCUACAUCUCCAAGAUGUUCCUGCGCGGGGAUUCGGUCAUUGUGGUCCUGCGAACCUACUCAUCGCUGGCAAGUAGGGGCUUGCUCCCCACUGUCCAAACUCACUCCCCCGUCCUGCAAAACCCGCCCUUUGACAUGAGAACAAUAAAAGCCUGGUGUGUGUUUUUGUGUGCCGACAUCAGCCACCUGUCCCUCGAAUCAGGCUGCAAGCUCAUUUCAGACAAGAACACAGGCCCAGCUGCGUUCUCAGAAAAAGUUCGAGAACUUGGCAAUUUGAGAUUCUGA